This 252-nucleotide ribosomal RNA is filed under the name uncultured prokaryote. Its description in RNAcentral is "partial 16S ribosomal RNA". It matches the Rfam family "Bacterial small subunit ribosomal RNA", at positions 525 to 776 of the family's 1533-position model. The record is from RNAcentral.
ACGGAGGGUGCAAGCAUUAAUCGGAUUUAUUGGGCGUACAGGGCGCGUAGGCGGUCUGUUAAGUGAGAAGUGAAAGCUCUGGGCUCAACCCAAAAAUUGCUUUUCAUACUGGCAGACUGGAGUGAUGCAGAGGUUUGUGGAAUUCCUGGUGUAGCGGUGAAAUGCGUUGAUAUCAGGAGGAACACCGAUGGCGAAGGCAGCAAACUGGGCAUUAACUGACGCUGAGGCGCGAAAGCGUGGGUAGCAAACGGG